CCCGAGGUACCGGGGACUUAAUUUCCCCCGGACUCCAAACCGUUUAACUCCUCGCAUUGGCGAUAUCUUCAGAAACACGUGGUCUCCAAUGGCGAACUCUAUAUCUUUCCUCUGCUUGUCGGCAUAGCUCUUUUGCCGUGAUUGCGCCGUAGCAAGUCUUUGGCGGGCAAGGCGAACCUUCUCCUCCGCUUCCCGCACUACAUCAGGGCCGAGAGUCGCUCUCUCGCCCACAUCGCUCCAAUGGAUCGGGGAGCGACACUUCCUUCCAUACAGGGCCUCGAAUGGCGCCA
Molecule: long non-coding RNA, 290 nt
Filed under: Ananas comosus (pineapple)
Lineage: Eukaryota; Viridiplantae; Streptophyta; Magnoliopsida; Poales; Bromeliaceae
Description: long non-coding RNA (ACOM_LNC029034)
Source: RNAcentral